This 67-nucleotide transfer RNA is filed under the name Chionarctia nivea. Its description in RNAcentral is "tRNA-Glu". The record is from RNAcentral. Lineage: Eukaryota; Metazoa; Arthropoda; Insecta; Lepidoptera; Erebidae.
GUUUAUAUAGUUUAACUAAAACCUUACAUUUUCAUUGUAAAAAUAAAAUAAAUAUUUUUUAUAAAUA